AGUUCCAUAGUGUAGCGGUUAGCAUGUCAGCUUUAAAUGCAGAAGGUCCUGGGUUCACACACCAGUGGAGCCA
RNAcentral lists this transfer RNA (73 nucleotides) under Pteropus alecto (black flying fox). It matches the Rfam family "tRNA". From Rfam's summary of the family: Transfer RNA (tRNA) molecules are approximately 80 nucleotides in length. Their secondary structure includes four short double-helical elements and three loops (D, anti-codon, and T loops). Lineage: Eukaryota; Metazoa; Chordata; Mammalia; Chiroptera; Pteropodidae. The record is from Rfam by way of RNAcentral.